This 470-nucleotide ribosomal RNA is filed under the name uncultured bacterium. RNAcentral describes it as "bacterial SSU rRNA". It matches the Rfam family "Bacterial small subunit ribosomal RNA", at positions 8 to 526 of the family's 1533-position model. The record is from RNAcentral.
AGAGUUUGAUCAUGGCUCAGAACGAACGCUGGCGGCAGGCCUAACACAUGCAAGUCGAGCGCACCUUCGGGUGAGCGGCGGACGGGUUAGUAACGCGUGGGAACGUACCCAGAUCUAAGGAAUAGCCACUGGAAACGGUGAGUAAUACCUUAUACGCCCUUCGGGGGAAAGAUUUAUCGGAUUUGGAUCGGCCCGCGUUAGAUUAGGUAGUUGGUGGGGUAAUGGCCUACCAAGCCUACGAUCUAUAGCUGGUUUUAGAGGAUGAUCAGCAACACUGGGACUGAGACACGGCCCAGACUCCUACGGGAGGCAGCAGUGGGGAAUCUUAGACAAUGGGGGCAACCCUGAUCUAGCCAUGCCGCGUGAGUGAAGAAGGUCUUAGGAUCGUAAAGCUCUUUCGCCAGGGAUGAUAAUGACAGUACCUGGUAAAGAAACCCCGGCUAACUCCGUGCCAGCAGCCGCGGUAAUAC